This 3353-nucleotide ribosomal RNA is filed under the name Triticum aestivum (bread wheat). Its description in RNAcentral is "partial small subunit ribosomal RNA". The record is from RNAcentral. Lineage: Eukaryota; Viridiplantae; Streptophyta; Magnoliopsida; Poales; Poaceae.
UGCUAAAGAAAUAAAAACGCCGACGACCACAUGGUGCCAGCCAAGUCAGGAUAGCAGGAGAGGAGAACUCGGGCACGAAUGCCGCGGAAACCAAUUGAUUAGAGGGGGAACAUGAGUCACAGGACCGAAGAGAAGGACAAGAGAACAUGAUCACCAAGCAUAUUUUAAGGCGAAAAAUUCAAGCCUGGUGAUGGUGAUUCACGCAUGCUCGCCGCAUCACCGCAGGCAGCCGGGAAUUCUUUAUCUCAUCGGCUGGUAGCUGGUUUGACUGCAAAACCCGAAUCAUAAACAAAAUUAGCACGCAAAACCAGGCUUGUCCGCACAUGGAUGCUCCUACUUAGCUGGUGGCUGCCGAGAGCGAGGCGGAGGCCCUCCCUGGUCACUCUCUCCCGGAUCUCUCGUGCCAUGUCAGGCGGCGGCUGGCGGCCGUGGGCGGAGCGGUACAAGCCGUGCGUGGCCAUGGUGCUGGUGCAGCUCUUCUACUCGCUGGUGGACAUGGCGCUCAAGACGGCCUACGGGCUCGGCAUGCGCCCCAUCGUCUUCGUCGCCUACCGCCAGGGCAUCGCCGCCGCCGCGCUCCUCCUCGCCUCGCUCGCCACCAGGGGGCUCACGCUGCGCCCCAUGGCCGUCGGCUCCCGGGCCUUCGCCCUCCUCUUCCUCGCCUCCCUCGCCAGCGCGACGGGGCAGUACUUCUACUUCAUGGGGCUGCAGCUGGCGUCGCCGUCCAUGGCUCGGGCGACCACCAACCUCGCCCCCGGCAUCACCUUCGCCAUCGCCGCCGUCAUCGGGUUGGAGAAGGUGGACUUGAGGAGCUCAAGAAGCAUCGCCAAGAUCGUCGGAACCGUCGUCUGCCUCGCCGGAGCAAUGCUCAUGGCGUUCUUCAAGGGCCCAAAGCUUCUCGGCGCCCUCCUCCUGCCGGCGACCGAUGACUGGGUGAGAGGCGGCAUCUACCUCAUGGGGAACGCCUUCUGUUUCUCCAUCUGGUACAUCUUGCAGGUACCGGUCUGUAAAUCCUACCUUGAUCCACUAUCCUUGGCAACCUGGAUGUGCUUCCUAGCGACCUUGCAAUGCGCGGUGAUGGCCUUCUUCCUAGAAGCAAACUACAUUGAGAUCUGGAAGCUUGCUUCUAUUUGGGAGCUCCCCUGCAUCUUAUACGGAGGCGUUUUCGCAUCGGGUGCAAACUUUUUUAUGCAAUCUUGGUGCAUAUCAGUGAAAGGCCCACUUUACAGCGCAAUUUUUACACCGCUGAGCGCGGUCAUCACAACAAUAUUGUCUACGCUCUUCCUUCACGAGGAACUGCACAUUGGGAGCGUGUUGGGUGCUAUUGUGAUCAUCCUAGGCCUGUAUGUUGUGCUGUGGGGUAAAGCUGAUGACGCAAGCAGCGAGGGGCUGGCCAUCCACUCUAAUGAUUCUGAAAGCAUUUUAGAGCAAGAUUGUAUGGGUGUAAAAGUAGAAAGUGGGAUCAAUCUUUCAGAACCAUUGUUAUCAUCUGAAAACGCGGACGCUGAUGCUUCGAGACGCCAGUGAUAUUGCAGUUUUUCAGACACAGCCUCCAGCCUUUGAGUUAUAAUGAUCCCUUUUUCUGAUACUUCUUCCACUGCCUGCUUGUUGCCAAAAUAUGUGUAUAUAUAUUUUUUUCAUUGGAUAGUUCUUGGCCAAUGGGCAAUGGCCAUGCUAAAUUAUCAAACACGCAGUCUGGCUGUCUGCACAAUGCUUAAUGUGCCGAUCAUAUAUUUGACCCAGCCAGUCAGGAACCCAUCACUGUCCGGCAUUAUGAGGAUUAAUCAGGGAAGAUGGAAGAUAUUGGAAGAUGCCAAUUGGCAAGGACUGAGACCUAUAUAUGUUAAGAAUGACUACUAGUCUAACAAGAGAGUCACACACAAGGGACGACAAGAAGGCGAUGCCUAGCUACAACUAUUCUUGCAAGUGAAAGUGAAACAAAGAUGAUAUCUCUUCAUUGUUUACUCAUGACAGUGUUACCUAAGCUCUUCCUUCAUGAAGAACUCCAUACUGGGAGCGUAUUAGGCGCUAUCACCAUCGGCCUCUAUGUAGUCCUGUGGGGUACAGAAGACGAUGGAGAGAGUGAGAGCAUGGUGGAGGAGAACAGGCCCGACCCUCGCGUCGCCCACACCGGGCGACUCGAGGGGAACCCCAGCCGCCACCGACCGCCGCCCCUCCUCCCGGCCACCCCCGCGUCGCCGCCGCCGGAGGGCCGGCCGACGAAGCCGCGCCGGACCCAGGGAUGGCGGCGGCGAGGCCGUUCUUCCCCCAUCCCGCUUCACCCCACGCCCUUUCCCUCCACAGCUCCUCCAGAUCUGUCCCCUGGCGGCUCCAGCGGCUUCCACCGGCGCCGUGAGCGGCCUCCCCCGGCGGUGUCUUCCCCGCCCGCUGCUGGUGUGGUGGGUCUCCCUCCGGAUGCGGCUCCUCCUGCUGCACUGGUCCCGUCUGCCCCAUUUGGAUCUGGGGCCCAGCCGGUUGUGGUGCUCCCCAGCCCGCUUGCCGUGGCGGCCGGGCACGCCCUCCUUGCUGCGUCCACCCCUCCCCCGACCCCCGCCACUCGUCCCUCUGCCGUCGCGGGUUUCCUGGUGGUCGCGCUUCAGCACCAGAUCUGCGGGUUCAGGUGGCCUUGUCGGCCGGCUCCCCGUGCUCUCUCGUUGCGGCCUCGCGCUGGCCGUGGUGCACCUCAGCCUCUCCUUGUUGGGCGCGGCGCCCCGGCGUGUUGCUGCUUCUUUGGCCCUCCGUAGCUCGCUUCGCAGCUCAUGGCUGCCUAGAUUGUUGGGCUACGGCGGUGGUUGGCCGACUUGCUCCGGUUGCGAGGUGGAGGAGGCACUGCCGGGUGAAAACUUCAUCGACGAUGACGGCUGCAGCCGCCAUUUUUCCUUCUUGAAGGCGUCGAGUUUGGCAUUGUUUCCCUCCCCCCCAAGCACUCAGAUCCCGAGAGAAAUCUCGGACCCGGGGUUCCCCGUGUCGGAUGGUGUCGACGUCUCUACGCCGUUUCCUCCUUGGGGGCAUCUUCUUGGAUUUCUUCUGCUUCGGGUGGACUCGCCUCUUGCUGCUUCCUCUCCACCUCGGCUUCGAUCCCUGGCUGGCCAUUGUCCUUGGCGACUCGAGUGGAGCUUGCUUGGACAUCCUGGGGUGGCCUCGACGACGCGCUGCCCUUCGACCUCGGCGGCAGUACACCGGUACUGCGCCCUUCGGUCUCGGUGGCGUGUUGCCUUCUCGGCUUCGCUGGCGGCACACCGGUGUCGCCACUCGAACUCGGCUAUUCGACGCUCUUCGUUCGCGCCAGUGAUGCUUCUCGAUAUGCUUCUACUUCGGUGUCUCCUUUCUAUCAGGGAUGUGCUUCAUGGUGG